CCCACUGGCAUCUCUGGAAGAAAAAUUAAGCAGGUGCUUCGUGUCCUACCAACUACAGAAGAUCAAAUGUCUGAUGAUCCCUGGAGAAAUGCUGCCAGUCAGGCUCAAACCAGGACAGUUGGGUCACUCAGACUGAAUUUCCCAUUGCAGUAUGAAAUUCCUGGUUGGUGCACAUCGGCUUGCUUCUCUCUGGAAGAAUGUUGGGCUGAAGCUACCUGGGAUGUUACCUGAAAUUCAUGAACGUCUUCAUUAUUUGCAUAAAAUUCAAAGCCCAGGUGCGAUGGGAAAAUGAGAUUGUCUUCAUGCUUUCUUGACCCCAGUAAGUGCAGAUUGUCCUGAAGCUGACAAACAAGUUCUGAUCAGAUAUUAGAGGUGAAUGAAUAUAAUGGCAUUAAGGGUGGGGCUGCCAGAAGAAAGAGGGAAUUGUCAUUUUAGGCUCCCACACUUGUCUUCUUUCAGCCCGCUGUCACAAGGUAUGCGAGGCUGGGGGAGAUGCACCAUUUCUUUACUGGGCUUGUUUAUUGUGUGCAGGAGCUGGCAUUUGUGGGCUCCGUACCCAGGGGCAGAUGUGGCUUUUCACACCUGUCCGUUUGGAUCAGCUCUGCGAGUCUCCACCAAACAGCAGAGGUGCACAUCCCGAAUGACACUGAGUGGGAUUUAGCUCCAACCACCCCCAAAAUGUCCUCAAUCUGGACUGCUGGCCUUUUUUUUUUUUUUCCUCCAAAACAACCUGUUCUACUUGAAUGUCUCCAGGCAGGCAGCAAAAACCAUGAGUUUUGCAAUUCUGGGGAGUUGAGAAGGGCAGGGACGAUUAAAGGCAUUCUCCCAGAAAUGCAAGAGCUGCUGGGCCACUUUGGUACCCUGGGGAGCCGUCUGGUUAUUGGUGUGCACUCUCUGUUUUGCAGGGAGGUGAUCAGAAUACAUUAUGAGCUGUUAGGGCACCGGCAUCUUCUUGUUGGGUGUUUCGGCUUGUUAUUUACAUACAAAUGAGAUGAAGUCCGAGUCAUAUGCAAUGAGACAGAAAAGCUGAAGAUAACCGUUUCGGAAGACAUCCUCGUUAGGUGGGUGGGUUUUGCCUUCUCGGCAAGGGAUGAUCUGUUUGGAUUUCACCACCCACCAACCCAGACAGUGCUGCUAAGCCAUACUGUUUGUUAAAACAUAAUUAGCAAUCUGCUCCAAGGUGACCACAUCCCAUAAACCUUUGUGCUUUCUGUCCGAAAAGCCCAGCAGACGCAGGGAGCCCGAACCCACCACGAGAGCAGCAGGGGUGGAUGCUCAGCUGCUAGGAACCGGCGGUGGGUGCAUCCCCAUGGCACUAGCACGGGCAGGCUGAGCCCGGCAGGGUGGCUGAGCUCCUCCAUCAGGGAGCGAGACGUGGUCGGAUGGGGCAGACGAGCCAAGAGUCAGCAGCAAAGUCUAGGAAGUGGAGCGGGAAGUCGGGAAAUAAAUUGUGACACCCACUGCUCAGUCCACCUUUCAGGGGGUAAAUUAACCUGCCCACACCCUGCGCUGCUUCCAGACUGGGAGAAGAGAGACAGAUUUCUCCAAAGGGCAAUUUGGAGUGCAGAUGUCUCAGGGGCUUUUGGUGGUGCCUGGGCAAGCCGUGGGAGGGAAGCAGCCGUCGGGGGCGGACGGUUUUCCUGGCAGGCAGCUGCGCAUCCAGCUGUGGUGAGAGCCACCACGGCAAACCCUUUCCAGCCGUGAUGCAGAGACCUUCCUGCGGGUCUCCACACCUUGGAAACUGGGGACCCUCAUACAGAAAAAGGAUGGGGCAACCUGACCUUACCUGAAGCUGAGCCACCUGGAAGGAAUUCUGCCUUCCUUGGUGUCAGUGGGUGACACCUGUCUGCAGCCCAUGGCCCCCAAUGUUUGUGUAGGCUUGGGUGUUUGACAGAAGGUGGGUGUUCGAGGAGAGAGGGCCUGGUGCUGUAUUUUGGAAAGGCAGAGUUUUGUUUCAUUUGAAAAUUAACCUGCUCUUGUGAGAGGGCUUCAGUUUGUUUGUUUGGUUGGUUGGGUUUUUGCUUCCACCUGAGCUGGUUUUCACUGAUUGCUUUAAAUGGGGGCCUGGCUGCUUUUUGUUCUGCCUCAGAGAUCCCAAGGGAGCUGCACAUCUCACGAGAGGUUAAAUUCCCUGCUUAAUGCUGAGUUUCCAGACUUCCUUGUGACCACGCUCAUCUCUGGAUGGAAUAAAGGUCAUCACAGAACUUGCCACGGCUGCUGUGGAGCUCCUCCAGCUGUGGUGCAGGAAGAAGGUGACAUUAAGCGCCUGAAUCGCCCCUUCCAGGGAAGGUGGGGAUGCUCCGGAGCUGCACCAACGCUGGUGCUCCUGGUCACGGCUGUUGUCCAUUUGCACGAUGACCGAGGUGUCACAGAGCUGACAAUCCAGCUGAGCUCUCUCCUGCAAGAUCCAUCACAGCAAAUGAGUGCGCUCUUACCUCAGCAUAGAUGCACUUCAGGAACUCCAGCUGCUGCCGCAGGAGACCCACUCUCACCUCCAGCUCCUCCUUGGUCAGGUAGAGACAGUCCACAUCCUGGAGAGACACCGUGGAUUUGGUGAAAAGAGGUGAAGAAAAAACCGCUGUGGCAAAGCCCCUUUUCUCUGUUAGAUUUGGAAAAGCCUCCCCAUGGCCAGCCCCUAAGGCUGCCUGGCUUUGCUUUAUGUGUGCUUACAACCUGGCAGGGUUCUCCAGGUGACCCAGGUGGGUCGCCUCAAUUUUGGGGCUGCGCAGUGAGGGUUCAGGCAGUGCCAUGGUGCCAUGGCUUUCCAUUUCACUCCCUGGCCCCACGCCCAGGUUUUGCAUACACACCAGCCACCCUCAGCUGAGCUCACUGGUGCUGUCUGUAGCACAGCUCACCUUCUUCAGCACCACAAACUCGUUCUCCGCAGCCGUGCGCUUGUUGAUCUCAUCUUCAUAUCUGCAGGAGGAAAGGAGAGGGGUGGGCUGCUGAGUCCCGGUGGUCCCAUCCCCACCACCCAAGCAGCCAGCACAGAAAGCGUGACUGAAACCAGGGCCUCUCCCUGUUUGCUUUGUACCUCCUAUUAGAGUUUUGCUUUCUUGUUAUUUUUUUUUCCUCUGUGCUGAGCUUUGUUCAGCAGUUUUAAAUAGCCCACGCCAGCAGUAUCGGUAGCUGCUGUGAGAUGGCAGUAAAUCAGGCCAAACCACUAGAAAUGCCAAACCGUGUACCAAGCUGAAGGCUUGCUUUGCUGCUUCUAGCCCUGCUGCUGCGUGUGAGGUUUUUUGGAAGCAUCCAGGACUCUGCUCUCAGCUUUAUGGGGAGACUGUGGCCAAAGUGCCCCAAGGGAGGUCAGGAGCUUGAGCAACCUGUGAAACUCCUAGGUGCCAUGAAAAGGAAAGCUGGUGUGUAAUGACCAAGUAAUUGGGACCUGGAAGAGCUUUCACAAGAUGAGUCUGACCUCCUUGGUGGUGGCUCAGUGAGAGAAAACAUCUGAGAGGCUUGUCUGUAAGGUCUUUGGAGAAGACUACUCUUAUAUGCGUGUUGUACAUCACCAGCCACCGUUCACAGCUUAGUGCAGCACACAGGGAACUAUUAAGGAAUAUCUGCAUCUUAGAUUAAAAAAAACAAUUCCCACAUUUCCUCUGGGAAGAGGGAACGAACCCCAGUGGAGACUAUGUGGAUAAAGUGUGGGGUGAAAACAAAUGGGCUGAGGGAUCUGUGGGAAUGGAUGGCAGCUGGGGGCAGGAGAUUUGAGGGAGCCACAGAUGACGUGGGAGAUUUGAUACAGCAAAACCACAGGGGAGUGCAGGAGUGCUAGGGAGAGGAAAAGAGGUUCCCUGUCUCUCACCCUCAGGAAAUACUGCAGGGGGGGCUCUCCCAGUGCAUCACCUGCACCUGAGAUGCAGCAGUGGGACCCCAGCACAGAAUCCAGCCCAGUGCUGGUGUGCCCUGCCCUGCUCCCUCCCUGUGCUCCAGUUUUUGAGCUGUCUGCUGCUGCUGCAUUGGCUUCACGCUCCAAAAGUCUGCUCCAGGCCAGCCAACACCCCAACCCCCAUGUUCUCUCUGCAUGCUACUUACUUGC
Molecule: non-coding RNA, 4039 nt
Organism: Anas platyrhynchos (mallard)
Lineage: Eukaryota; Metazoa; Chordata; Aves; Anseriformes; Anatidae
Source: RefSeq, a predicted model, not a curated record